Molecule: transfer RNA, 69 nt
Filed under: Congriscus sp. Tht2
Lineage: Eukaryota; Metazoa; Chordata; Actinopteri; Anguilliformes; Congridae
Description: tRNA-His
Rfam family: tRNA
About the family: Transfer RNA (tRNA) molecules are approximately 80 nucleotides in length.
Source: RNAcentral
GUAGACAUAGUUUAAUAAAAACGUUAGAUUGUGAUUCUAAAAACAGGAGAUAAAAUCCCCUUGUCCACC